RNAcentral lists this ribosomal RNA (95 nucleotides) under Sporosarcina luteola. RNAcentral describes it as "partial 16S ribosomal RNA". It matches the Rfam family "Bacterial small subunit ribosomal RNA", at positions 1 to 91 of the family's 1533-position model. The record is from RNAcentral. Lineage: Bacteria; Bacillati; Bacillota; Bacilli; Caryophanales; Caryophanaceae.
UUUAUGGAGAGUUUGAUCCUGGCUCAGGACGAACGCUGGCGGCGUGCCUAAUACAUGCAAGUCGAGCGGACAGAAGGGAGCUUGCUCCCUGAAGU